Nicotiana attenuata is the source of this 345-nucleotide long non-coding RNA. RefSeq lists it as uncharacterized. The record is from RefSeq and is a predicted model, not a curated record. The transcript is spliced from 2 exons. NCBI's taxonomy places the organism in Eukaryota, Viridiplantae, Streptophyta, Magnoliopsida, Solanales, Solanaceae.
ACCAACAUCUGCUUGGAAAUGCCACCAGUCCAACAUGCCAUGUACAGACUUUAGAAGAAGACAACAGGCCACCCACAUCCAAUGCAUUGCAGACAGUUCUUGGGGCCACUCAUAAGCAGCAACAAAGAAAAUGAGGUGGAGAAAAUGAAGAAAGGGAAGAUCAAAGGAAUGAAGAUCCUCCUUAAGAAGAUUUUUGGAUUAUUGCUGAAACUCUAAAUGUUCUAGGAAUCUUUUGUUAUCAAAUAUUUUGAAACUUCUUUAACUUUUGGAUUGUAAAACUUAUGUACUUGGUUCUUAACUUUUGGAUUAUUAAACUUAUGUACAUGGGUUCUAAUAUUUUGCUUU